This 253-nucleotide ribosomal RNA is filed under the name uncultured bacterium. RNAcentral's name for it is "partial 16S ribosomal RNA". It matches the Rfam family "Bacterial small subunit ribosomal RNA", at positions 524 to 776 of the family's 1533-position model. The record is from RNAcentral.
UACGAAGGGGGCUAGCGUUGCUCGGGAUUACUGGGCGUAAAGCGUGCGCAGGCGGUUCGUUGUGUCGGUGGUGAAAGCCCCGGGCUUAACCUGGGAAUGGCCAUGGAAACUGGCGAACUGGAGUGUGGCAGAGGGGGGUGGAAUUCCGCGUGUAGCAGUGAAAUGCGUAGAGAUGCGGAGGAACACCGAUGGCGAAGGCAGCCCCCUGGGCUAGCACUGACGCUCAGGCACGAAAGCGUGGGGAGCAAACAGG